GCGGGGGUAAUGGCCCACCAAGGCGAUGAUGGAUAGCUGGUCUGAGAGGACGAUCAGCCACACUGGGACUGAGACACGGCCCCAGACUCCUACGGGAGGCAGCAGUGGGGAAUCUUGCGCAAUGGACGAAAGUCUGACGCAGCAACGCCGCGUGAGUGAUGAAGGUCUUUGGAUCGUAAAGCUCUUUCGGGAGGGAAGAAAUGGUUGUGUGCUAAUACCACAUAGCCUUGACGGUACCUUCAGAAGAAGCACCGGCUAACUCUGUGCCAGCAGCCGCGGUAAUACAGAGGUGCAAGCGUUGUUCGGAAUCAUUGGGCGUAAAGCGAGUGUAGGCGGUCGAAAAGGUCGGUGUGAAAUCCAGGGCUUAACCUGGAACUGCAUUCGAAACCGUUCGACUUGAGUACGGGAGAGGGUCGUGGAAUUGUCGGUGUAGAGGUGAAA
This 441-nucleotide ribosomal RNA is filed under the name uncultured bacterium. RNAcentral describes it as "bacterial SSU rRNA". It matches the Rfam family "Bacterial small subunit ribosomal RNA", at positions 252 to 686 of the family's 1533-position model. The record is from RNAcentral.